UGUUUUCUUGGAUGGAAUUCUCAAUUA
Molecule: non-coding RNA, 27 nt
Filed under: Cricetulus griseus (Chinese hamster)
Lineage: Eukaryota; Metazoa; Chordata; Mammalia; Rodentia; Cricetidae
Source: RNAcentral